AGCAGGGGCGCCAGCAGGAGGUG
Molecule: microRNA, 23 nt
Filed under: Gallus gallus (chicken)
Lineage: Eukaryota; Metazoa; Chordata; Aves; Galliformes; Phasianidae
Description: Gga-Mir-1774_5p* (star (passenger))
Source: RNAcentral